GAGUGGCGAACGGGUGAGUAACGCGUGAAGAACCUGCCCUCAACAGGGGGACAACACUCCUAACGGGGUGCUAAUACCGCAUGAGACCACGGGUCUGCAUGGUCCCGAGGUCAAAGGUGGCCUCUGCCCGGUUGAGGAUGGCUUCGCGUCCCAUUAGCUAGUUGGCGGUGUAACGGACCACCAAGGCGACGAUGGGUAGCUGGUCUGAGAGGAUGGUCAGCCACACUGGGACUGAGAUACGGCCCAGACUCCUACGGGAGGCAGCAGUCGAGAGGCUUUGGCAAUGGGGGAAACCCUGACCAAGCGACGCCGCGUGGAGGAUGAAGGCCCUUGGGUCGUAAACUCCUUUUGUCGGGGAAGAAACACGAUCAGGUGAACAAUCUGGUCGCUUGACGGUACCCGGCGAAUAAGCUCCGGCUAACUCCGUGCCAGCAGCCGCGGUAACACGGGGGGAGCAAGCGUUGUUCGGAAUCACUGGGCGUAAAGGGCGUGUAGGCGGUCAGGUAAGUGGAAUGUGAAAUCCCUCGGCUCACCCGAGGACCUGCAUCCCAAACUGCCUGGCUUGAGUAUGGGAGAGGAUGAGGGAAUUCCUGGUGUAGCGGUGAAAUGCGUAGAUAUCAGGAGGAACACCGGUGGCGAAGGCGCUCAUCUGGCCCAAUAC
Molecule: ribosomal RNA, 661 nt
Filed under: uncultured bacterium
Lineage: Bacteria
Description: bacterial SSU rRNA
Rfam family: Bacterial small subunit ribosomal RNA
Source: RNAcentral